UUUCUUGGUCAUUUAGAGGAAGUAAAAGUCGUAACAAGGUUUCCGUAGGUGAACCUGCGGAAGGAUCAUUACAUUCAGUAGCUUGCUACUGGUCGGGAGGCGCUGUAACUCCGCAUAGUAUUCAUUUACUGAUGAGCGGCUGGCCCUCUGUCUGUACCCUUGUCUUUUGCGCACUCAUGUUUCCUCGGCGGGCUUGCCCGCCGACUGGACAAAACUAUAACCUUUUUAAUUUUCAAUCAGCGUCUGAAAAAACUUAAUAAUUACAACUUUCAACAACGGAUCUCUUGGUUCUGGCAUCGAUGAAGAACGCAGCGAAAUGCGAUAAGUAGUGUGAAUUGCAGAAUUCAGUGAAUCAUCGAAUCUUUGAACGCACAUUGCGCCCCUUGGUAUUCCAUGGGGCAUGCCUGUUCGAGCGUCAUUUGUACCCUCAAGCUCUGCUUGGUGUUGGGUGUUUGUCCUCUCCUCUGCGUUUGGACUCGCCUUAAAGCAAUUGGCAGCCAGUGUUUUGGUAUUGAAGCGCAGCACAUUUUGCGAUUCUAGCCGAUAAUACUUGCGUCCAUAAGCCUUUUUUAACUUUUGACCUCGGAUCAGGUAGGGAUACCCGCUGAACUUAAGCAUAUCAAUAAGCGGAGG
Molecule: ribosomal RNA, 633 nt
Filed under: Phaeosphaeria culmorum
Lineage: Eukaryota; Fungi; Ascomycota; Dothideomycetes; Pleosporales; Phaeosphaeriaceae
Description: eukaryotic LSU rRNA
Rfam family: 5.8S ribosomal RNA (bases 265-418)
Source: RNAcentral